This is a long non-coding RNA of Raphanus sativus (radish), 872 nucleotides long. RefSeq lists it as uncharacterized. Lineage: Eukaryota; Viridiplantae; Streptophyta; Magnoliopsida; Brassicales; Brassicaceae. The transcript is spliced from 3 exons. The record is from RefSeq and is a predicted model, not a curated record.
UAGAGCCUCUUACGAAGACGGUUUAUGAUGAUAUAAAGCAAAAUUGGCUUUUUGUUAGUGUGAUUAUAAUGCAUCAUGUUUCUUGUUUGUUUUUGCUUUAUGUAUUUUAGCUAUACAGCGAACGAAGUAGAUAACUUCCAGGAACAGAGGGUACAAGUUGUGGAGUUAAAAAGGCAGGAACUUUUUUUUUUUUUUGGAACUUGUAUUGUUAGAAAUCGAGAUUGCAUUCAACGAGGCCGUGACUGAAGGGAUACAAGAAAUCCUUAAUCAAAUUGGAGAGGGUAAUGAAAUAUUCAAAGAUCUUGCGGUUCUUGUUAACGAUCAAGGAGCCAUGAUAGUCUAGAUGAUAUCGGUACUCACCUUGACAACUCUCGAGCUGCAACUGCUCAAGGAAGAUCUCAGCUCGCACAAGCCUCAAAAACACAAAGAUCAAACUCAUCUCUCGUAAAAAAAAACACUUCAAAUAUUUUUGGUUUUGGGGGAUGGGUAUAGGCCACGCUCUGAUGUUUUGAUCUUGUUUAAGACAUGCUUACUCUUGCUGAUAUUUGGCAUUGUGCCUCUUAUCGUGAUUAUCGUUCUCGCAGCUUGAUGUUGGAAAGCAAUAACAAGUUUCGAAUGUUUCCAUCGAUCGUAAAAGCAUCAGUGAGUGGAAACUACUUGGUACAUAACGUUAUUUGCGGACAAACUUAGAAGUUGGGCGGCUUUGUAUUGGUCUGGUUUAAGGGUCUACUUGUUAAUGUAAUCGAGUGUGGUUUUUUGCUGUGCAAAUAAAUUCGUUGGAGAUGAGCUAGUGUCUUGCUAGUGCUUCUCCCAAAUUUCGGGUUUGUUAAACAGAAAUUAUCAUGCAACACACUGAAUGACUGAUCUUGAAC